This 26243-nucleotide long non-coding RNA is filed under the name Citrus maxima (pomelo). Its description in RNAcentral is "long non-coding RNA (CMAX_LNC003934)". Lineage: Eukaryota; Viridiplantae; Streptophyta; Magnoliopsida; Sapindales; Rutaceae. The record is from RNAcentral.
AAAUAAUUAAAAAAUAAUGCUUUUUUGUUUGUCGUGUUAAAAUCGUAAGUACCGAAGUACUGUGAAAGAGAUUAAUUUACAGAAACUGAAGCCAAGGGUUCAAAAAAAAAGUGCAAAGAGAAUAAUUGUAUUGGUAGCACAAUGUCAUAUUCAUACAGAGAUCAAGUAUAUUAUUUACGGCUAGUAAGGACUAAGAAUUAAUUGUACACUAUUGUUUUAUUCUACAAUCAAUCUUGACCCUUGAUGCUUGGCUCUCAAUCUUGUCCAUUGAUCUUCUCUGAUUUUGGAGACUUGAAGACCUUUCAGUAUUAUGCCUUGUUGUUGGUGUCUUCCAUGCGGUAGAACCGACGACUUGCCAAGUGUUUGUUCAUUGACGCAUUUUAUCAAACAGUUGGCCUGCUCAUAGCAAACAGCUCCUGUUUUAAUUCGAUGUUAUACGGGUAUUUCAUUUAUUUGAGUAGGGGUUAGGGGUCAAUUGGAUACAAAUUCAAAAUUAUCCUUACUUGAGAUGGUGAUAAAAAUUGGGGAUUUAAUUUGGAUGUGAUUAGCUACAAAUAUUAAGCUCAUACAUUUAAUUCAAAAUUGGAGGGCUGAUAUAUGUGCAUCAUCGUGCACGUUAUAGUGACACUGCGUCACCAUCCCACAACCUCUCCAAUGAAAAAUUGACAUGCAUCUUGUGCGCUUCUGAUCAAAAUCCUGAAAAUUAAUCACAAAGUUAUACUUUUAUUAUAAAAAGAAUAAAGAAACUCCAAGAAAAAAAAAAUAGACUUACAUAAAUAGUUUGAGUAUUCUAGAUUCCAAGUUGUCUAUAUUAGCUUGAUCUUUUUAUAAAUAGUCAUCUUCGAAAAAAAAUUCCACCACCAUAUAUUUUAAUUUUAUGUUAAUUAAUAAAUAGAAAAAAAAUCAUUUUAGAAUUAAUUAAAACAUUAUUUAUUGUUGCCAAAAAAAAGGAAGAAUUUAGUGAUAAGAAAAAAGUGUCUCAAAUAUACGUUAAAAAAAUUAAUCAUGGUGGGUUCGAUUGAUUGAAUUUUUUUUUUUAUCUUUUUCUUUUUUAAGAAUUAAGACAAUUGGAUUGAUUGAGUAAUAAUAAAAUAUAUUUAUUUGGCAAAUGGCAGUUAGGCUUUCUUCUGAUGCAGAUUAAUUAGAGAGAAUAUAUAACCAUUUUAAGCUCGUCAGAUUCGGAACCUGCUUAUCUGUCGUGUGGGGAUCACUUCCGUGUCUUAUUUUUCUACAAAAAUCUAGACCAUUGGAUUUCCCAUUAGUCAAUAGAUAAAUGUUUGAUCUUGAUUCUUGAUUAAGAUCGAAGUUUGAUUCUAACCAACAUGAUGUCUGAUUCAGAUUGCGAAGCCAGCAAAUUGAAAGUAACUUGUUCUAUUUUGAUAAAACAUUCUCAUAGUAAAGUGAAUUACCAUCCAACGAUCCAACUCAUGUUUUCAAAUUGUAAAUUGCAAAUCGUGUGUUUGCCCCAUUACAGAGUUUCUUCAAUCUGAAAUAGAGAAUCAUUUGUGUUCUAGAUUAAUCGUGGGUCUAUAUCCAAAUCUAAAAAUUGACUAAAUUCUUAAUCCUAACAAGAAAAAUUGAAGAUUAAAAACAACUAAUUUGGUACCAUACCACUAUUGUAACAUAGGUAGAUCCUCUAUUAAUUGGAGUAAAGAUUGAAUUAUCUCAUUUAUUAAGGUUUAUCAAAAUCUUGUGUCAAAAUCUAUUAAUGAUAUAGGUUCAAGGAUGAAAGAGUCACUUCAUUACUUUUGAGUUCCCAAAUAGAUGAAUGGGUGUUAUUUUUGGAUUCCGGAGAGUCGAAAAUAUUAGGAUAGGUGCUAAAUCGAAUUAAGUUGUAGAUAAGAUAGAAAUGGAUUUGGAGAGAUUGGAAUCCUAGGUAAUCCGGUGCACGUUGUCGUGUUAAAUUAUCGUUGACUUCACGUUGACUGAAGCAUUAUUGGAAGAAACAAGUUUAUUGAUGUGAGGCCUUUGAGAUUGUAAGUGUUAAAUCUGAGAAGAAUACCCACACACCCAUUAUCCUAUUACUCUUAUAUCACAUGAAGAGAAUUCAACAUUUGAUUCACACGGAAAAAAUUUGUGAGGAUUGUGAGGGUUGAUGGAAUAUAAUUUAGAUACAAAGUGUUUACCAGUGCGAUGCUUCGCAAGUGUUCUUGAAUCAAUAUAAACUCACAUUAUUUUCAUAGUGAUUGUUUCAUCUGCACGUGGAUAUAAUCACAUGUCGAGAUUUUUUUCCUUAAAUUAUGGUCUUAUUUAGUAUUGAGGUGUUAUAUCUUUUAAGGUACAAUUAUUGUUGGAAAAAAGUUACAACUAUCAAAUAAAAUUAAUACUAUGUGCUAAAUAUAAUUGUUAAAUAAUAAUUUUGACAAAAUUAGUGAAGUUAUAUAGAUUUUUUUUCAUCAUCCAAGUAUAAAAUCAAAUCAACUUAACUUCUAAGUUAUAUAUCGGUUACUGUUUAUCAUAUGUUUUAGUUCUGUAACUUUUAAGUUAUAGUUACCCAACCUCAAUUCUAAACAAGACCUAUAAAGAUCAAAGAUUUCCUCAUUAAAUUAUAUGUCUUGUGAUUGCUUAUUUAAUUUAUAUUUUUGUUAUUUAUCUUUAUUAAUUAUAAUCAUCUUUUUAUAAAUUAAAAUUGAAGGAAGUUGAUUGAUGUUGUUGACACACACGCACACACUCACAAAGACAUAUUGGAAGUGCUUACGUCGACUCGAAGUUGUUGGGAAUUAAUGCAUGUAUUGAUUUAUUGGGAGUGUUUAAAUGAUUUUGUGAUUUACUUGAUUUAUUGAUUGAAUAUUGUUUGAUUGCUUCAUAUCCAUUCUAGAAAGUUUAUUUCUUUGUGAAAGUUCAACGAAAUAUGUUUUUUUUUUUUUAAAUAAGGGUGUUCUAAAUAAUUUUAAAAAAUAUAUGGACUAAUUAGAAUUAAUUAUUAGGUAAUUAACUCAAUCUGUACGGGGUAAAACAACAUUUAUCCUAAUUAUAUCAUGAUAAAUACUUUUCCGAUUAGAAUUAGGAAAUCAUAGGUUUGUUGAAUUGUUUUUUUUUUAUUUUCCUUUGCGGAAACGGAUUAGAGAAUUAGAAAACAAUCAUGUUGAUGUCAAAAUCUGAUCUAGUCGGUUAGCGACUUAAUAUCAUAUUACUGCACCAGUAUUAAAUUUAUUUGGUAGAGAAUCGGCUGGUCAAUUGUCAAGAUGUCCUGCAAUCACUAGCGAUUAACCUACGAAUAUAUGAAAUUAUAGAAGACGGUAAGAGGCACCGGAAGUUUUUUCGUCGUGAACCUUCUGACGCUCAAGUCAGUUUAUAGGUUUACGAUAAUAAAAAUAAAUAAUUUCUAUUUAAAACAAAAAAUAGAGUUCAAAAGCUCAAAAAUAAAACCCAAUCCCAAUAUGAAAAUGAAUAUCUUUUUUUUUAGCUUGGCCGAAUCCUUCUGCCUCCUAAAGAAACAUAAUAGAGAAGCCGGUAGCCAUGUUCCCUAGGUAACGCCCCACUCCCCUCUUUUAUUCCUCCCCCUCUCUUCUGUUUCCUUCUUUUGCUCACUAUCCUUUAUAAUUUUUUAUGCUUGUCUUCCCAAAAUAGCCUUUGAAUACACAAGUAAAUGUCUAGGCUUUGGUGAGGAUAGUUUGGUUAUUGCAUUUUACAAGUAAGAUGAGUGGUGGAGAAAAAUGAGGAGUGCAUAUAACUCUUCAGCAAAUCCCACCAACAAUUCCAUUUUCUUAAUUAAUUAAUCUCCUUUUUUAUCCCCAAACAAAUCCUAAUGAUACUAUUAUCAGGUUUAAAACAGUACAUAAAUAGUGAAAAGCUAACUAGUCUGUAGAUUAAUUUGCUAAUUGCUAUCUCCUCUCUACGCGCUCUGAAUAAUUUGUUGCAUGCAAACUUUUUAUUUUAUGCAAAUCGUACGUACUGUAACAUUGGAAUUGAUGUAUAAGCAAAAAUACAAGAAUCUUUAUGUCAAUAAAAAUAGUUUUUUUUUCCUUUUUAAAUAAACACAACGCGAUGUUGCUCUUCUCUACAUUGUUGCUAUCUCUUUAUUCCCUUUUUUUUUUUUCGGCUUCUUAAAGCCUCAAACUUUGAUAACCAAAACUUCAUCAAACUUUGAAAAAAAUCUGUCUGGUUAGUUAUUAUUAUCGGAAUAAUUAUUUGAGAAUACUAAAACAAAAUAUAAAUAAGAAAAUACGGGGUUAAAUUUGGGGAAAACAAAAAGGCAUGUUGGAUAGAUUACUAUAGUUUAAGGGAAAAAAAAUCCAAUUGGGAAUUUUUUUCUUUAAUUUUUGUUUUACUUGAUUGAGAUUUCUCCUUAGUCCUUACAGUUUUAAGUUUGGACUCCGUAGGGUUAGUAAUUUAGUACUUCCUUUGCAAGCUGAGUGCAAGAAUGAAAAUCUUUAAAGAAAUUAAAAAAGAUUAAAAAAAAGCAUACCAAUAGGUAAUUAUAAAUAACCAUAAAUAAACAUAAACAAAAUGUUUAUGAAGUAAAUUACACAUGCACAUAUUAUUUUUUUGUUUUAUUUCUUACUUGUCAAUUUUAUUUGCUGCUUGAUAACCCGUAAAUACUAAUCUAGUACUGCUAAUUUCAGACACAAAAUUUUUAACUCUAGGCUGCAGUUUUACUCAAAAUGAUGACCACUGGCUUCGCACCAUUUAACCGGCAUACAUUUCUACAAAUUGAACAAGGCUAUUGAUUUUCAUUAUUAUUUUUUAUUUAUUUAUAAAUUACCAUUUUAAUUUUCACUUUUUAUUGGGCUGUUGAACGGAUUAGUGAAGUUGGUGGUCGUGAUGCACUCAUAAGGUACAAUUUUAUUUUAUAAUUUCAAAUUUGUAUUUUAAAAUGCAGGUACAUUAUGUAUACAUAAUUAUUGAUUUUCGUAUGUGGGUGUUUUGAAAUAUUGCUAAAAGACCAAACUUUAAUAAACUAUUUUUCAUCUUUUUUUUUCCUUUUUUCCUAAAGUUCGAGUGAUAUCCGCAUUUUAAAUUCAUGUGGAACAAAAUCUAAUGUAUGCACAAAAUUCUUUUAUUUUUUCCAAGAAAAAUGGGUAAGAGAAGAAGAUUUUUCUCUUGAAAAAGAAAAACUAAUAUGAUGCAAGCAUAGGAAAGAGGUCAGUGUUUUGGAUUAGAAUUUAGUAUUGAGCUGAAUUUUAUACUAAACUCUUUUAUGGUACUGCGAUUAAUAAACUCAUGAUUUGCUUUUGCUUUUGCUUUUACUUCAAGUGAAAGAAAGAGGAAACCUUUUGUUUUUUGUUUGAUUCUUGACUACAGAUGUUAGCUAUAUAGAGAGUUGAGGUAGCAGCCUUAAGUGAUGGUGAUAAAAAGAUUAGGCAGCGCACACAAUCUUACUGUCGUCCAGACCAUCCAGCUGUGAUGACUCUAGUUUUUUGGUUACAUUAGCUUUAGUGGAAAGGAGGGCCAAUUUAACAAAGACUAGAUUUGGUGGCUUACUAUAAUGCUUAUUCUCAGGGAAUCUAAUGUUAUAAGAUGAUUUAAUGAUCUUCUAUGAUUGUGAGUAGUAUAGUAUAAUUGAAAAGAGCCUGGGCUCCUAUGAUGAAUAUAUAAUAGUAACGCAGUACUGUGAUUGAAAAAAACACAGUUACAAUAAACUCUUCAUUUAUUCAUUGCGGAGAUUGAAUGGCAAACAGAGAAUAAAAUGAAGCAGAGGAAUCUCAUUGCCAGUAAAAUUGACCCUCUUUAAUGUUAUAUGGCACAGGUGUGUGUACAGCAAGAGCAAGUUACUUGCAGUUUUUAUUGUAAAAUAUACAGGUUAUGACCAUGAUCAUUGUAGUUAGGUUUUGAUGAUUUUAGAUGCUUUUUUUAUUUUUAUUUUUUAAAUUGUGACACCUUUGAUUUAUGGUAGUUUUGCAGAAGAAAAAAAUAUAUAUAAAAAUUAGGAGGGAUGAGUUAACUAACAAUUGCAAUCAUUGCAGUAAUGUUGAUGAGUGAUACAUCAUUUGAAAUUUACUUGUCAGUUGCUAAAAUGAUGAAAAAAAACAAUAAACAAUAGCAGUAAUAUUUUUAUGGAAAUUCUGGGUUUUUAUGGAAAUACUCUUGCUGAAAUUCUAAUUUUGACUUUCAACUCUUGGUUUUUAUGGAAAGUAAAAUGACUUGUUUGUUAUAUUCAUACAACCCACUCUACAUAAUGAUUUCAUUUUAAUAAAUGCUUGAUGAUCUCCACAGAAAAACUACUUCAAUUCUUUUUUUUUAUUUAACUUUUUGGUUGUUGAAAAUAGCCUUAAUUUUCAAAUCAUUGGAGAAAGAGUAAAGAACAUUUAACAAAUUUAUGUGCCAAAAAUAAAGGAGAAAUUGAAGAGAAAGGGUGCUUGCAGAAGUGGGUGCAAAGAUAAAUCAGUCCAUAAGAAUUAUUGUGGUUAUUAAUUUUUUGGCAAUAUAAAAAUUUUUCAGCAAAUAAAAAUAGAUUUUUUUCUGAUUUACUAAAAAAUUAAUUAAAAACUUCGGCGAUAGCAUUUUUUAUGGGUGCAUGUACCCUCCCUUUAAAAAAAAUAUAAUAAUUAAUACUUAAUAUAGUAUUAAAUACGAAAAUAUCAAUAUUUGACUACACAAAUUUAUAUCAUUAGGUCCUUAAAAUUUAAAAUUGAAGACACAAAAUGAAAUAUAUAUAAAUUUCAUUCUCAUAGGAAAGGAUCCUCUUAUAAUCUUAAAAUAUUUGAGCUUUGAAAGAAUUUUUAAAACAAAUGUACUUUUAUUUUUGUACAAUCAAUAUUUACUUAUUUAUUAUAUUUUUAUUCAUUACACUACUAGAAAAAUGGUCUUUUGUGACACUUGUCUUCUGACACUUUAUUAUAAAGUAUCAGUAAUUACAUAUAUUUGGGGCAUUUUCCGUGUUUAACAUAUAAGUAUCACAAAUUGCUAAUACUAUGGUGUCAGUAAAUUUAAUAUCACAGAUUCGUGACACUAAAGUAUUAGUAGUUAAAAAAAUAAAAUUUUAAUUUUGUAUCUAGUAAUAAUCGCACCGAAGACCCCGAAGCCAUAACCUUUUGCUUUUAACCGCUAUACCACUCGGCCACAAAUUGCAUUUUUGAACUUAUAAAUUAAUAAAUAAAUAAAUAUUAAAACUUAAAACCUAAAACCUAAAAAUUUUUCAUGUAUGGUAUGUGUGAAACCUAAAACCUAAAAAUUUUUGUUAAGUCAAAAAUCUAUCUUAUGGCCGCCGAAGCUUUCUUCCUUCUCUCUCCUUCCCUCUCUCUCGCUCUCUUUCUCUCUCGAACAAUGAUCUACCUUGAAAGCCGCCUCCGUCAACACCUUGAAAGCCGCCGUCCUUAAGCUAAAAUAUCCCUGAAAAGAACCCAGAAAGUGCUGUGAAGAAUUUGGGCAAAGCUAAGGUUUGAAAGUCCGAAUCAGUGUUGUGGUAACUCUUUGCCUCAUUCUCUAUUCUCAUUGUUUAAGUAUUUAUCUGUUAAUUGAUUGAUGUUUAUUGAGUGCAAAUGAGAGCUUGCACUUGUUUGGAAAUCCAGCCAUCUAGGGUUUUUGUUGCUUAUAAUCUAAUUUAUUGUUUAAUAAAAUAAAUAAAACGCAGCUUUAUUAUAGGUGGAAUUCAGUUUAUUAAGUGAAAGAAUGAUUACAAUCGGUGAUUAUGGAUUUAGGUUGAAUGCAAUUUGUUAAUUAAAAGAAUAAUGGUAAUCGACAGUCAUGGGUUUAGUAUGUAUUAUAUAUUUCGUUUAAUGGUGUGUAUGAAAACCCAAAACCUAAAAUUUUCUUAAGUAAAAAUCUCAGUUCUCCCUCACAACCUAUAAGCCCAUCACUCUCUCUCUCUCUCUCUCUCCCCUCUUUCUAGCUAACAACCCAAAACUUAUUGUGAAACCGCCAUUUCAAUCUUUCAAAGCUCAUUAGUUAGCUGGUCAUUGUGAAAAGUAAGGUUAUUGUUUGCUUUAUGUCUAAUUUACUUUAAACAUGGGGAUUGAUGAUAUUCGAGUUGCUGAACACUUGAUUUUGAGGUGAAAGAUUAAUUAAUAGUUUACAAAAUUAUGCUGAAAAUUUGAGGAUUGAUAGACUGUUGUUGUGAACUUGGUUGUUUCCGAACUUGACUAAAUGACUUUCAAUUGAUUUGAAAGUUUGAUUAAACUAAGUUUAAAUGAGAACAUUUUAAUUCUGGAAAUUUUGGAAUGAAUUGGGUCUAUAUUUGAUUUUGAAUGGAUUUCUCAAUAUGGUUGGUUGUUGUCCAAUUUUAUUAGAAAUUACAUAUGUACCAUGUUUGAUAUUGCAAACGUAUAGUUUAACAUAGUUAGAAUAAGCUGAAAUUCAGAUAAACUACACUUCUAUUUGCAUACUUCGAAUCUGGAAAAUUUUAUUUUGAUUGAACCUGUAAUUUAUUUUUAAUGAUUUUUCAAACUCUGCUGCCUCUGCAGUAACUUCUUUUGACAGAACUGUUCAUUAAUCUUUGAUCCUAUCAAACACCAGCCUACUGAUAUCGGAAUAGCCUCAAAUUUUAAUAUGUUGUUGACUUAUAUGUCCACUUAAAAUCUAGAAAGUAUCAUUCUAAUAUAUUUAGUAUUUUAAAUUUAAUAAAUAUUCAAACACCUGCUGCUACUUUUACAGUUUCAUAUGCAAUUUUAACUUAUAUAGUUUUAUCAUGUGAGAAGCAAAUGUAUGGUUGUCCAAAUGACUUGGAAAUUUUUUUUGUGGUGCAUUGAAAUGUCUAAUUAUGUUUUGUAAGUUUCAUAGCAUUCCAAAUUGAAUUAAAGAAAAUCUUAAAUUCAAGUUGUCAAUGUUUCCUAUUAAAUCUUAUUAGUGAUAAAUCUACUAACUUGCAGUACUUUUCAGGAAAAAAAAUGUGUCAACACUGUGAAUUGCAAUGGGAGAAGAAAGUACUAAAGGCAUAAAUCUUUUUUCAUUAUAUUUGGGACUAUUCUUAAAGGUUAGUCUUUUCCUUUUUCCUUUUUUUCUUUUUUAUUUAAGGUAAUCAUAUUCAUUUUAAUUUUAAUUACAAUCAAUUUGGCGUUGUUAGACAACUCGCACCAACCAGUCCAACAGCAAAUGAAGAUAACAUUUUUGAAAUGCAUUCAGUUUUUGACAAUAGCAAAAAGAAAAAGGAAAAAUGAUACUAGUUUAGGCUUUAGGAAAUUUGCACCAUCAUUCUUGCACUGCAGCUGCCUCUAUCUCGGUGCUCUCGGAGAAGUAAUCUUGCUUGAUUUUGCGUGAUAGUUGAUACAAGCCCGUCCUAGCCAUUACAAAAUUGACACUAAAAAGGUUCUAGUUUUUCAUAUUGUAGUUUGAAAAGUCUGCAAUGUUUGCUAUGCUGAUGCCCCAUUUGAAUGUUGGAGCCCAAAAAUGAAUGGUUUUAGGACCAGCCGGGUGGUUCCAAAAAGCUAGGAGCUUGUUAGCUAUUCUUUUUAAUUGAACUAAUUUAACUUAAAUAUUAGCCCGAUUAUUGAUUUCUAUGGUUUGCCAUUGAUUUGAGUUUGACAUUCUUGUUUUGUGUUGGUUUGAGUUUGACAUCCUAGUUUAAGACUUUGAAGGCUUCCAAGAAAUGAUUUUGGAUGAUGAGCAAAUGAGUAAUAGUUUGAAAAUUAAUUUACUGUAUCAAAUAUAUACUUAGUGUAGCAUAUUAAUUUUAAGAACUAUGGAUUAUUCCUUGAAUAUUCUAGUAAAUGGUUAUGUUAUAUAUGCAUGUCUUAAUAUAUAAUAAUUAUAUUUUGAAGUUUGUUUUUUUUUUUUUCCCUUUCUAGGUUUAGGAAAAAUGUUUAAAGUGAUUUUGGGUUAUGAUGUCAAUCAAGUUAAAGCAACAUUACUUGUGAGUGGAAAUAUAUAAUGAUUAUAUUUUUAUUCUACUUUUUUUUUAUCUUCUUAAAGUUUUAUAAUUAGGCAAAAUUAAUGAAUACUUAAUUACAAUUUAGGGUGAUAUUCUUUAAAUGGUUCACAUGAAUAGAUUUAAGUAGUAUAAUAAAUCUCAUACUCACUUUAUAAAGGCUUAACUAAGUUUGCAAAUAUUAUUUCUUUUAGUAGUAAUAAUUUUGGAUCGAACUCUCAAAUUAUUGAAAUAUUUUAUGUCCAAACUUUAUUAUGCCUAAUAUAAAUAUUGAGAUUCAUAGUUAUUUUAUGCCCAGUUUAAGGAAACUGUAGUUUGAGGACUUAUUUUUUGCCUUGUUAAAUAAACUUUUAGAAUGAAUAAAUUGAGGAAAUGAGUGGUGAUUUAUUUAUAAUAGAGCAUUUGUGAUAGCUUUUAACUAUGCACAAAAAUCAUUUGGUAUAUGUAGAUAGAGUAACAUGCUUGUGCUGAAAGUAGAUAUUACAUUGAAAACUUCUUGUCUACUAUAGUUUGCUAUAUAUAUAACCUUUACCAAAAGAGAAUAAUUGAGUUUAUUUAUAAAUAGCUUAUGAGGAUUUUUUUUUUCUUUCGAACAAAAUAAUUUUAUUUCUGUUAAUUGUUGUUUCUCUAAUGGCUGGAUAUUGGCAGCUAAUUUUUUUUUUCUUUUCCAUGUAUUCAUAUGCAGCUUUGAUCAAUGUGUUUGAAGUGUUUAUUCCUCAACUUCACUUAUAUCAUAACCCAUACAGUCUAUUGAAUGGAGAAGCUGCUGGCGUGAUAACGCAAUUAUACUACUCAUAUUCAAACAGUGAAAGACAAUCAUCCUUCUCAAUUUAGCUUCUAGAUUUAUUAAAUUUAGCCACAAGUAGUAGGUAUUUGAUUGGAUGGUAGAAAUUUUUAUGUAUUGAAUUUGGAUUAUUGAGUUAUGAGAGUAGGAUAUCUCAUAUUUUUGUUAUUGAAGUUUUGGAAUUUGUAAUAUAUACUAAUAAUAUUUAAAUGUGAAAUGAAAGAUUUUGCGAUAUAAAUCAAUUUCUUUUUGUUAUUUUGUGGUGCUUUUUAAUUUUACCAAUAAAUCAAUAGACAAUGAUCCAAUUCUUUUUUUUUUUAAAUAAAUUAACUAGUGAUACUAUGGUAACAGUAAUCAUAGACACUAAUAAAAUAUCAAUAAUUACUAACACUAUGGUGUCAUAAUAUUGGUGAUACCGUAGUAAUAGUAAUCACUGACACCACUUACAAGUGUCACUAUUUUUCUGACUCCCAGAUUACUGGCACAAUUAACAAGUGUCAAUGAAAGUAAUUUCUAACACUAUUCUAAAGUCAGUAAAUACCAUUUUUCUAGUAGUGUUAACUAUCAAUCAUGUGAGUAUAUUUACUCAGAAAUAUCAUAUCAAUAGACAAUCUUGAUCCCACACACACGUAAAUAUGUUAAUUUCUAUACGCUUCACUUAACCUGUAGAAUCAAUUAUCUAAAAUGCAAGUUUGUGGCCACAAAAAAAGCCAAAGAAAGAAGAUAAUAACAAUUGACUUGUAUAUUAUGCUCAUACAAUCCACUCGACAUAAUGAUAUCAUUUUAAUAAGGCAAUGGCCGAUGAUCUCCAUUGAAAAACUAAUUCAAUUUUUUUGCUUCAUUUAACUUUUUGGUUGUUGAAAAUAACUUUAAUUAUCAAAUAAUUGGAGAAAGAGUAAAGAACAUUUAACAAAUUUAUGUGCAAAAAAAAAAAAAAGGAGAAGUUGAAGAGAAAGGGUGCUUGCAGAAGUGGGUGUCAAAGAAAAAUCUGUCCAUAAGAAUUAUUGCGGUUAUUUUUUGGCAAUGUAAAAUUUUUAUAGCAAGUAAAAAUUAAUUUUUUCCGAUUUACUAAAACAUUAACAAAAAAACUUCUGUGACAGCAUUUUUUAUGGGUGCAUAUACCCUCCCUUUAAAAAAAAUAAUAAUUAAUGCUUAAUAUAAUAUUAAAUACGAAAAUAUCAAUAUUUGACUACUCAAAUUUACAUCAUUAGGUCCUUAAAAUUUAAAAUUGAAGAUACGAAAGGAAGCAUAUAUAAAUUUCAUUCUCAUGAAAAGGAUUCUCUUAUAAUCUUAUAAUAUUUGAGUUUUGAAAUUUUUUUGAAACAAAUGUAAUUUUAUUUGUGUACAAUCUGAAAUGGCCCAAAACGUCAUAAAACUUUUCAAAUAGGUUCAAUUUCAGAACUUCCUAAAAAUAGUCGUCUUUCCCCAACUUUCUGAAAUUAUGAUAUAGCCCCAAAGAUUUUAUUAUUUCGCACAAAGGUCCUUUUCAACAUAAUACCCAUAUUUUUCAAAGUUCUCAAAACCUUUCACUUUAGUCCAAAAUAUUCAUAAAUUAUAGUAUGGCCCAAAACAUUUCAAAUGUUUGUAAAAACGUCCAACUCUGAAAUUUAAUACUUAUUAAAAACAAAGAUUUCAAAUCUUAGCAUUUAAAUCCAAAUUACUCAAAUCGAUAAAAUACUUUAUUUUAUAAAAAUAAAACCUUUUAGUUUAUGAAAAGUAUUUAAUUAAAUUAAUCUCUUGAGCUUCUCAAAUGCUAAAUCAUGCAUCAAUUAAAUCAUACCGGCUUUACAAGAAUUUAUCGCACUAAUUUGUUCGUUGAGCUCUAAACUAUAUUCUUGAUGUCGCCGUUGUCCGCUGAGUGUCUUCAAUCUUGAUUUCACUUGAUUCACUUGCAUAAAUAUUAUCCUUAAAAAACUAGUGAAAAUGUGAAAUACAAUAUUUAUUAAAUCACUCAAUACAUAUGUUUGUUAUCAUCAAAAUUACAUUAUGUAUAGCCCUUUAGGCUAACAAUCUCCCCCUUUUUGAUGAUGACAAACAUCUCAUGUAUUUUGACAUUUAUACUCCCCCUUAAUACAUGGCAUAUAUAAUUAAACAUAUAAAUCAAAUUCAAAACAAAAACUCCCCCUGAAUAUUUGAUUUAUGAUAAUUUGUAAGCUCCCCCUUAAUAUUUCAAAACCAUGCAUAAAUACUUGAAAUACAAAAUACGUAUUACAUGUCUUCAUAUUCAAAAUACAUGACUUCUCCCCUUCAUCAUCAAAAUUACUAGAAAUUCAUGCGAAGAUCGAUAAUAUGUCAAUGGUUAAUCAAGAAACAUAUAAUAACCAAACAUCCAAUUAACCAUUAAAUGAUCAUGAAUCAUCAUGCCAUCAAAAGAAUGUUCUAAAUGCAUAUUAUCCAAAAUCAUAUUGUAUGCUCCCCCUAAAUAUAUGGCCAAUUAAAAAAUUUAACCAAAAUGAUAUUAUCCAAAAACAUAUCAUAUUUAUCUCUCCCUUCAUAAAAAAUAGAUAGAUGCAAUCGAAACAAGAGCAUAAAAAAUAAUUCGAUAAAGAUAUUACCAAUUUUGUGCGAGCAAAAAUUUCGGCAGAGUCUCCCCUUAAAAUGAACAAAUCCUUAAAUAUACAACAUGGUUAAAAACACUUCCAUAUAAGCUGAAACAAUUAUAACAAACCAACAACUCCAUUAAUUCAUCAAGCAAUACACAUACAAUCAUCAAUCAUCAAAAGUACUAUAAAUCCAUGCUUAUACCAAAAAGAAUAUCUCAAUGAUUAAUCAAGAAGCAUAAAAAUAAAGCAUGCAAUUAAUCCAAAGAGUCAUAUUCAUUCUAAGAAUUCAGAAAAUAUCAUCCAAAUAUAAAUUAUCCAAAUAUUAAACAACCAUCAUCCGUAAUCCACAAUUAGAACAAUUAUGCAUAUGAAAAUGUAGGCGCAUAAUAUAAUAAGGAACCAUGGUAAUUUAAAAUACCCAAAAAUGCACAAAUUCGGUUUUGGAAAAUAAUUAGUGAAAUGAAUGAUUUUAAACCGAUUGUAUUGAUCCAAGAGAUGAUUUAAGAUAAUGGAUGGUGUUGAUUGGAUCAAAAGUGGACUAAAAAGAGUUUAAAUUGGAAGAGAAAGAAAUGGGUAAGUUAGGUUUUUUGAUUUUGGGUUUUAUGUGGAGAGAUAAUGAAAUCAAGUUUUGAGAGUGAAAAUUGAAGGAGUAAUGGAUGAAUAAUGAGUUGGAUGAUUGAUUUUAGCAAGAGAAUGAGUGAAAGAUGAAGAAAUUUGAGAAAGAAAAUGGAGAACACUAUUCACGCGUGAAUGAAAUGAGAAUGGAAUGAUGAAGAACAAGUGAAGAAAUCAUGAUGGAGAAGUGUUUAAUGAAGAUAAAAUGCAUGGGUAUUAGUUUGAAUGGUUGAUUUGGGCAUGAAAAUGGAUGAAAAAAGAAGAAAUUGAAAGUGAAAAUGGAUGGGUUGCUCACGGUUUUGAGUGAAAGAGAGAACAUGUGCAGAAAAUUAACAAAGGAAGAAGAAGAAGCAAAAAAAAUUUUCCCAACCCGUGACCAAGCGGCUAGCCGCUUGCUCUCGGGUUGGGGACAGUUUCCAAGCGGCUAGCCGCUUGGAACAGGCGGCUAGCCGCCUGUUCCAGCUGCACUCAAGUUGAUUUCCGACUAAUUUCGAUCAAUUUUGUGACCAUUUUGUGAUCCUGAAACAUCUCAAGAGCCAAUUUAAUGCAUGAUUCAUGAUUUUAAACAUCUAAAAGAUGAUUAAUUCAAACAAAUAAUCCAUCCAACAAGCAUAUAUUCAUGAAGCACAUAAGCAUUCAAAAAUUAAUAAAUCAAACACCACAUAUAUCUAACUUGCUCAAACACUUCAUAAACAUUAAUAAUCAUCAAGCAAACGAUUUUAAUAGAUUCAAUAACAUAAAUAGAGAUGUUAAUGCGAAAAUUUCAUCAUCCCAAGUUCAUGCCGAAUUUUUGAAAAUUGUUCUUCGCAAAGGGGUUUUGUAAAAAUAUCGGCAAGUUGUUUUUCCGUAAAGAUAAAUUCUAAUGCAAUAUCACCUUUUUGAACAUGAUCUCUCAAGAAAUGAUGCCUAAUCUCUAUAUGCUUGGUUCUAGAAUGUUGAAUGGGAUUCUUUGAAAGAUUUAUGGUGCUAGUAUUAUCACACUUGAUAGGAAUUUGUUCAAGAUUAAUACCAUAGUCUCUAAGUGUUUGUUUCAUCCAAAGUGCUUGUGCACAACAACUACCUGCGGCAAUAUAUUCCGCCUCAGUAGUUGAGAGUGUCACCGAAUUUUGUUUCUUACUAAACCAUGAAACAAGUGAAUGACUAAGAAAAUGGCAAGUUCCACUAGUACUCUUCCUAUCGACCUUGUGACCAGCAAAAUCGGCAUUCGAAUAACAAGCUAAAUCUAUAUGAGUUCCUCUAGGAUACCAAAGGCCAAUAUCUAUGGUUCUACUCAAAUAAUGAAAAAUUCUUUUAACAUAAAGCAAAUGAGAUUUCUUGGGACAUGAUUAAAAUCUUGCACACAAACAUACACUAAACAUGAUAUCGGGUCUACUUGCAGUUAAGUAAAGUAAGGAUCCAAUCAUACAUCGAUACUUUUUAAUAUCAACCACUUUACCUUUUUCAUCUUUAUCAAGCAUGAUUGUUGUACUCAUUGGAGUAUUCUUGGUAUUUGAUUCAUCAAUACCAAAUCUCUUGAGCAAGUCUUUGACGUACUUAGCUUGGUUGAUGAAGAUCCCCUCAUUGGUUUGUUUGAUUUGAAGUCUAAGAAAAUACUUCAAUUCUCCCAUCAUGCUCAUCUCAAAUUCCUUACUUAUACAAGAGGAAAAUUCUUUGCACAAAGAUUCAUUAGUAGAACCAAAAAUAAUAUCAUCAACAUAAAUUUGAACAACAAGUAUAUCUUGAUUUUUAUUUUUAAUAAAGAGGGUAGUAUCUGCUCUUCCCAUCGAAAAAUCGUUAUCCAAUAAGAAAUUUUUAAGCCUAUCAUACCAUGUUCUAGGUGCUUGUUUUAAUCCAUAUAAUGCUUUUGAUAACUUAUACACAUGAUUUGGAAAUUUCUCAUUUUCGAAACCAGGGGGUUGUUUCACAUAAACUUCCUCCAUAAUAUAACCAUUUAGGAAAUCACUCUUGACAUCCAUUUGAAAUAAAAUAAAAUCUUUAUGACAUGCAAAUGCUAACAACAUCCUAAUGGAUUCUAAUCUAGCUACAAGUGCAAAAGUUUCAUCGAAAUCGAUUCCUUCUUCUUGGUUGUAUCAUUGAGCCACUAAUCUACCUUUAUUUCUUACAACCACACCGGAUUCAUCCAUUUUAUUUCUAAAUACCCAUUUAGUGCCUAUAAUGGAUUGAUGUUCCGGUUUAGGAACCAAUUCCCAUACUUUAUUUCUCUCAAAUUGAUUUAACUACUUUUGCAUUGCCAUAAUCCAAAACUCAUCAUUUUCCGCAUUCGCAAAAGAUUUUGGUUCAAUUUGAGAAAUAAAUGCAGCAUGCUCACAUGUGUUUCUAAGUGAUGAUCUAGUUGUGAUACCUCUUGAAGGAUCACCUAAAAUUAAAUCCUUAGGAUGAGCGGAAACAUACCUCCACUCCUUGGGGAGUGUUUGAGAACUACCUUCUUGUUGCUCCAGCUCCAUAUUUGUUUGUUCUUCUUGUCUAUCCUCUUGAUUUUCUUGUGGUGCAUUCUCUUGAUUCUCUUUUGAUGAUUCUUCUUGUAAUUCUCCAUCUGCAUUAUCAUUAACAACUCCUUUCUCCGCAGAGGAGGGGUUAGAUUCAUCAAACGUAACAUGCAUGGAUUCUUCCACAACUAAAGUUCUUUUAUUAUAAACUCUAUAAGCUUUGCUUGAGUUUGAAUACCCGAGAAAGAUGCCAACAUCAGAUUUUGGAUCAAAUUUAUCAAGAUAAUCUUUUUUGUUUAAAAUAAAACAUUUGCAUCCAAAAACUUUGAAAUAACCAAUGUUGAGUUUUCUAUCUUUCCAAAGCUCAUAGGGAGUUUUAUUGAGAUGAGGUCUAAUCAACACCCGAUUUAAAACAUAACAAGCGGUGUUGACGGCUUCGGCCCAAAAAUAUUUUAGUAAUGCAUUUUCAUUUAACAUGGUCCUAGCCAUUUCUUGAAUAGACCUAUUCUUUCUCUCAACAACUCCAUUUUGUUGUGGAGUCCUAGGUUAUGAAAAUUGAUACUCAAUGCCAAAAUCAUUACAAAAAUUUUCAAAUGCAUGAUUUUCAAACUCUCCACCAUGAUCACUUCUAAUACAAGUAAUAGAAUAACCCUUUUCAUUUUGAACCUUUUUAUAGAAAAUUCUAAAUGCAUCAAUGACAUCAUCCUUAUUAGCUAAGAAUAAUACCCAUGUGUAUCUAGAAUAAUCAUCUACAAUUACAAAUGCAUAAAAUUUGCCACUUAAACUAGCAUAUCUAGAGGGUCCAAACAAAUCUAUGUGAAGUAAUUGAAGAUGUUUUAAAGUAGAGAUAUGAUUCUUGUUUUUGAAAGAGGUUUUGAUUUGUUUUCCAAAUUGACAUGCUUCACAAAUUCUAUCCUUUUGAAAACCAAUUUUUGGAAGACCUUUAACUAAAUCGUUUUUCGAAAUUUUUGAAAUUAAAUCCAUGCUUGCAUGUCCUAGUCUUCUAUGCCAUAACCAACCAUCAUCAUGCAAUGCCGAAAAACAUUUAUCAUGAGUAGAUGCACAUUCUAUAUCAAUCGUGUAAACAUUGCCACAUCUAUUUCCCAUAAACAAAAUUUUCCCAUCACAUGCAUUCUCAAUAACACAUCUUGAUUUAUCAAAAACAACUUUAUAACCUUUGUCACAUAGUCGACUAAUGCUAAUCAAAUUGUGUUUCAAAUUUUCAACAAAACACACAUUUUCAAUUAGAGUUGAAGAAAUUUUACCAACAUUUCCAAUUCCGAGAAUUUUUCCUUUUGAGUUAUCUCCAAAGGAUACAUCUCCACCAUUUUCGAUUUUGGUGAAACUUGAGAACCAUGCAUAGUUUCCUGUCAUAUGCCUAGAACAUUCGCUAUCCAAGUACCAUUUAUUUUUCUUUUUCUUCAAGCCCGGCAAAGAAAAUCUUAUGUCUUAGGUACCCAAACCUUUUUGGGUCCUUGAUCGUUAGCAAUGGUUCCUUUUGGAACCCACACACAUUUGACACCAUUAUAUGCAUUCCUUUUUACGGGACAUCUAUAUUUCAUGUGGCCAUUUUAAUUACAAUAAUGACAAAAAAUCUUAUGAUCAUUUGUGGAGGUAGCUUUAACAAAAUAAUUCUUAUAAUCUUUUGCUUCAAGUUAGGCUUAUACCCAAGUCCUCCUUUAUCAAAAACACAUUUUUGGGAGUUAAGCAUGUUAUCCAAUAUCUUUUACCCAUUUCUAAAUUUUAGAACAACAUUACUAAGUUCAAUAUUCUUUUUCUUGAGCAUUUCAUUUUCCUUUUUCAAAUCAUCUACAUGUGACUCUAAAUGCUCAUGUAAAGUGCUAGAUUUUUCAUUUAAUAAUGCAACUCUAUUAUGCAAGGUUUUAUUCUCUAAUUCUAAUCCUUUAAUCUUCUCAUUCAAUGACUCAUUGCAUUUUUGCAUGGCAUCCUUUUCAUUUGUAGAUUCUAGCAAUUUCUUUUUAAGGCAUGCAUUCUUUUUACUAAUUUUCAUCAACUCAUCAUGCAUUUCUUUAAAAGCAUCAUAUAAUUCAUCAUAGGUUGGAUCACUUACCUCAUUGAGAUCAUCAUCAUCUCCUAGUGCCAUAAGUGCUAGGUUUGAUACUUCUUGCGACUCAUCUUCAUCACUUGAAUCUUCAUCGCUAUCAUCCCAAGUAGCAACCAUAGCUUUCUUCUUGAGUUUGUUGAGAAGUGGGCAUUCCGAUCUUAUAUGGCCGGGCUUCUUGCAUUCAUAGCAUAUGAUUACCUCUUUCUUCUCCUUUUGGUUUUUGAAAUUUUUGAAUUUUCUUCGGUCACCGGGUUUCAUGAAAAAAAUUUUGAACCUCCUUGCUAGCAUAGCCAACUCCUCAUCAUUUGGCUCACUUUCCCCAUCACUCUCAUAUUUGGUGACUUUGAGAGCAAUGUUUUUCUUCCUUUCCUCAUUUCCUCUUUCAGCUGCUAAAUCUUCCUCAUAAAAAUAAGAAAACCAAUUAAAUCAUCAAUAGGUAAGAUAUUCAAAUCUUUAGCUUCCUCAAUGGCAGUCCUUUUUGGUCUCCAUUCCUUAGGUAACGACCUAAUGAUUUCUUAACUUUCUCGCUAUUUGAAAAGGUCUUUCCUAGAGCUCCUAGAGUGUUUACUAUAUCCGUAAAUCUAGUAUACAUAGAAUACACACUCUCAUUUUAUUCCAUUUGGAACAAUUCAUAUUGCCGAGUGUACCUACUAAUUUUAGACUCUUUCACUUGAUUCGUGCCUUCAUAAACAACUUCAAGUUUGUGCCAAAUUUCAUUAGCACUUUCACAACUAGACACUCUAUGAAACUCUUUCUUAUCGAGUGCACAAAGCAAGGCAUUCAUGGCUUUGGAAUUUAGAGAAGCUUUUCUCUUUUCCAAUUCAUUCCAUUCCCGUGAAGGUUUCGGAAUGUCUUCCCCAAUUUCAUUUUUAGUCAAAGGCAUAAAUGGACCAUCACAUACAACUUCCCAAAUUUCAUAAUCUAAUGCUUGUAAGUAAAUUCUCAUCAUAGUUUUCCAAUACGGGUAGUCAUUUCCGUCAAAGAACGGUGGCCUAGUUGUGGAUUGUCCUUCCCUAAAGAUUGAAUCAUUUUGGGUUGCCAUGGAUCUUUUACUCUAGACGGUUAGUCCUAACAAGAGAACCAAGCUCUGAUACCAAAUGAAAUGCAAGUAACGCAACCCAAGAGGGGGGUGAAUUAGGUUUUUAAAAUAAAUGCAAUACGAUUCGCACAAUAAAUCAAUCUAAUGCCUUAAUGAAAUAGAGAACAAUAAAUUCAAACAAGCGUAAAAAUAAAAGAGCAAGGGAAGAGAAAAAUGAACACGUGGAUUUUUACGUGGUUCGGCAAUCCCCGCCUACGUCCACGCCUCCAAGCCAACCAAGCUCGAGAAUUUCACUAUCCAAGCCUCCCAAGGCUUCAAGUUUUUACAAUUGACUUCCAAGGUGUCAAUGAACCUUUACAACCAAGAGAUUAUCUCCCCAAUCUCUUCACUCCAAGUGUUUCCCACACUUACACACUCACAAUUUGAUAAGAAAUGAAAAUUACAACAAAAACUCUCUUUAAGAGUGGAUAUGCAACUAAUAGCUCAAUAAUGAUUCAAUCAAUGAUGAUUUGUGUUUUGGAAGCUCAAUAUAUGUUGUAUGAUCUUAUAUUUGCGUGCAUUAGUUCUUAGAAUGAAGUUUGAGUUGAGUUUUUAUAGUGAAAGCCCAAAAACUAGCCGUUAUAGGCAAAUUCCCGCGCCCAAGCGGUUAGCCGCUUGAUUAUCUGGCUAGCCGCUCAGGAACAGUGAUAUUACCAUUAUCUUUAAAUUGCUACAGUACUACUGUUCACUAAAAUUACACUUUAGCCCAAAAUUUUCUAUAAUUAUACUUUGGCCCAAAACGUCAUAAAACUUUUCAAAUAAGUCCACUUUCAGAACUUCCUAAAAAUAGUUGUCUUUCCCAAACUUUCUGAAAUUAUGAUAUGACCCCAAAGAUUUUAUUAUUUCGCAUAAAGGUCCUUUUUAACAUAAUACCCAUAUUUUUCAAAGUUCUCAAAACCUUUCACUUUAGUCCAAAAUAUUUAUAAAUUAUAGUAUGGCCCAAAACAUUUCAAAUGUUUGUAAAAACGUCCAACUCCGAAAUUUAAUACUUAUUAAAAAUAAAGAUUUUAAAUCUUAGCAUUUAAAUCCAAAUUACUCAAAUCGACAAAAUACUUUAUUUUAUAAAAAUAAAACCUUUUAGUUUAUGAAAAGUAUUUAAUUAAAUUAAUCUCUUGAGCUUCUCAAAUGCUAAAUCAUACAUAAAUUAAAUCAUACCGGCUUUACAAGAAUUUAUCGCACUAAUUUGUUCGUUGAGCUCUAAACUAUAUUCUUGAUGUCGCCGUUGUCCGUUGAGUGUCUUCAAUCUUGAUUUCACUUGAUUCACUUGCAUAAAUAUUAUCCUUAAAAAACUAGUGAAAAUGUGAAAUACAAUAUUUAUUAAAUCACUUAAUACAUAUGUUUGUUAUUAUCAAAAUUACAUUAUGUAUAGCCCUUUAGGCUAACACAAUCAAUAUUUACUUAUUUAUUAUAUUUUAAUUUAUUAACUAUCAAUCAUGUAAGUAUAUUUAGUCAGAAAAAUUAUAUCAAGAGAGAAUCCUAAUUUCACGCAAACACAAAUACAAGAAAAAUAUGUCAAUUUCUAUACUAUUCACUUUCCUGUAGAAUCAAUUAUCUAAAGUGCAAGUUUGUGGCUACAGAAAACUCACCAAAGAAAGAAGAUAAUAACAAUUGAGCAUUGAUAGCAAAACUAAUGCAUCAUUUUCUUCUUGACUUGAUGAGAUGGCGCCAUUACAAAAAAACAAGUACCUUAAUUGACGGGCACUGAGUGAUGUGAAUACUACCAGCCAGUUCAUCUCUUCCAGUCUUGCUUAAUCACAAUCACAAACACCACGAGAUUGACAUUUGCAUUAUAUAAAUCUUCAGCAGUCGAAACACCUUGCAUUACCAAAUAAACCAGUAACAAACAAAGCAAUCUUUCAUGGAGAGGAACCUUAGUCUCAGUAUGAUCACUGUGUCAUUAACCCACUUCCUGCUUCUUUGCUUGGUUGUUGCAGCAGCAGCAGCAGCAAGCAACAAUAUUACCACAGACCAACAAGCUCUUCUUGCCCUGAAAGAUCAUAUAACUUAUGAUCCAACCAACCUGGUUGCCAUUAAUUGGACCUCGAACACCUCUGUUUGCACCUGGAUUGGCAUCACUUGUGAUGUCAAUAGCCACAGAGUCACAGCCUUAGAUAUUUCUCAAUUCAAUCUACAAGGCACCAUCUCUCCUCAACUUGGAAACCUCUCUUCACUCACAACACUUAAUCUUAGUCAUAACAAGCUUUCUGGAAAUGUUCCCUCCUCCAUCUACACCAUGCAUACGCUAAAAUUUCUAGACUUCACUGAUAACCAGCUCUCUGGUUCAGUGUCUUCCUUCGUCUUCAACAUGUCUUCAAUAUUAGACAUUCGUUUGACCAAUAACAGACUUUCUGGUGAGCUUCCAAAAAAUAUUUGCAACUAUCUUCCUCAUUUGAAAGCCCUUUUUUUGGACAAAAACAUGUUUCAUGGCAAAAUUCCUUCUGCUUUAUCAAAGUGCAAACAACUGCAACAAUUAACUUUGCAGUCCAAUAAUUUAUCCGGUGCAAUACCAAAAGAAAUCGGCAACUUGACCAUGCUCAAAGGGAUAUAUCUCGGCUACAACAAACUCCACGGUUUGUUCAUAAUACUAUAUAAAUAUUUUAAUUUAUCACUUAUUAUCUUUCGUGAAUAAUUUAGAUAAGAUCUUGUAAGUGACAUUUUUUGCAUCUAUGUUAAUUUACCAGGUGAGAUACCCCACGAAAUCGCUAAUCUUCGAAAUCUAGAAGCUUUAAUGCUAGGAAUGAACAACCUAGUUGGUGUGGUAUCAGCUAGAAUCUUCAACAUGUCAACACUGAAGGUAAUUACCCUCAUAAAUAACUCUCUCAGCGGUAGUCUUCCAUCAAGAAUAGACCUUUCACUUCCAACUAUUAACGAGCUUAACUUGGCACUUAAUAGAUUUUCUGGAACCGUUCCUAGUUCCAUCACCAAUGCUUCUAAGCUCACCUUGCUAGAGUUGGGAGGAAACACAUUUUUGGGAUUUAUUCCAAACACAAUUGGUAAUUUAAGAAACCUUGAGUGGCUCGGCUUGGCUAAUAACUACUUGACAUCUUCAACCUCAAAAUUGAGCUUUCUUUCCUCUUUGGCAAAUUGCAAGAAAUUAAGAUCCUUAUCCUUAGAACGCAAUCCACUUGGCGGCUUCCUUCCAAGUUCAAUGGGUAAUCUUUCUAUGUCUUUAGAAACACUUUUUAUCGCCAAUUGCGGUAUUAUUGGCAAUAUUCCUCAAGCAAUUAGCAAUUUAAGCAACUUGCUGGCCUUAGUAUUAGAAGGCAAUAAAUUGACUGGACCAAUUCCAAUUACAUUCGCCCGACUGCAGAAACUUCAAGGCUUAUAUCUUGCAUCCAAUAAGUUGGUAGGUUCAUUCCCAGAUGAGCUUUGCCAUCUAGGUAGGCUGGCUGAAUUGGCCUUACUUGACAAUAGGCUUUCAGGAUCUAUACAUUCAUGUGUAAGUAAUCUCACUUCUCUAAGAUAUCUCUAUUUAGGGUCCAAUAGGUUUACUUCUGUCAUUCCCUCAACUUUCUGGAGCCUAAAAGACAUCUUGUUUUUUGACUUUUCAUCAAAUUUCUUGGUUGGUCCUCUUUCUUUCGACAUAGGUAAUUUGAAGGUGCUUCUAGGAAUAAAUUUAUCAGAAAAUAACUUAUCGGGUGAUAUGCCAGCCACAAUUGGAGGACUAAAACACCUUCAAAUUAUGGACCUAGCAUAUAAUAGAUUGGAAGGGCGAAUUCCCGAAUCAUUUGGUGAGUUGACAAGUUUGGAGGUUUUGAAUUUGUCAAAUAAUAAAAUCUCUGGGUCUAUUCCAAAAUCCAUGGAGAAACUCUUUUACCUCCGAGAGUUAAAUCUCUCUUUCAAUGAACUUGAAGGUGAGAUUCCUAGUGGAGGAAUUUUUGCCAACUUCACAGCUGAGUCAUUUAUGGGAAAUGAGUUAUUGUGUGGUUUACCAAAUCUUCAAGUCCAACCAUGCAAAGUUAGCAAGCCGAGGACAGAACAUAAAUCAAGGAAAAACAUACUUCUCAUUGUGAUUGUUUUGCCAUUGAGUGUUGCUCUAACAAUAGCAAUCACUCUAGCUCUCAAAUCUAAGCUGAUCGAAUGUGGAAAAAGAUGCACAGUGUUGUCAAAUGAUAGUGUCUUGUCAUCACAAGCAACACUAAGAAGAUUUUCAUACUUAGAACUUUUACAAGCAACAGAUAAUUUUGCUGAAAACAGCGUAAUUGGCAUAGGAGGUUUUGGUUCUGUUUACGGUGGAAGACUUGAAGAUGGGAUGAAGAUUGCAAUAAAAGUGUUUCACCAGCAAUGUGCAAGCGCAUUGAAGAGUUUUGAGGCUGAAUGUGAAGUGUUAAAAAAUAUUCGCCAUCGAAACCUUAUCAAAGUUAUCAGCAGUUGCUCGAACGAUGACUUCAAAGCAUUAGUCCUAGAAUACAUGUCCAACGGGAGUUUGGAGGAUUGGCUGCAUUCGAGCAAUUACGUGCUGAAUAUUUUUCAAAGGUUGAACAUAAUGAUUGACGUUGCAUCAGCUUUAGAAUAUCUCCACUUCGAUCAUUCAACUCCUAUUAUUCAUUGUGACUUAAAGCCUAGUAAUGUAUUGUUGGACGAAAAUAUGGUUGCUCAUUUGAGUGAUUUUGGCAUAGCAAAGCUUUUAAGUGGAGAGGAUGAGUAUGUGAUGCGAACAAAAACCCUUGCCACUAUAGGUUAUAUGGCACCAGGUUUGCUUCAAACAACUUUUGUUUUUAGUUCAUUUUAAAUUUUCAAACUUAUUGAUUUUUACAAUCCUCACAUCAAAAUUUUAUUGAUUAUUUAUCUAAUUGUGAAAUUAAUUUGAUUCAUAGAGUACGGCAUAGAAGGAGAAGUAUCUACAAAAAGUGAUGUUUACAGUUAUGGGAUUAUGUUGAUGGAAACUUUUACCGAGAAAAAACCCACAGAUGAAAUUUUUGUUGCAGAAUUGAGCUUAAAGCGUUGGGUUAAUGACUUGCUUCCUACUUCAUUAGUGGAAGUUGUGGACAAAACUCUGCUAAGUGGAGAGGAAAAACAUUCUGCAGCAAAGGAGCAAUGUCUGUUGUCUAUCUUUAGUUUGGCUCUGGAGUGUACAAUGGAAUCACCGGAAAAGAGGAUUAAUGCAAAAGAUAUUGUUACCGGAUUACUCAAGAUAAGAGACACAUUGAGUAAAAGGAUAGGAAAUUUAAGUUAAUUUCGUUUGCUUCCAUUGAUAGUUAAUCUGAAUUCAUGUAAUAAGUGUAGGAAUGUUAUAUCUUUUCCUUUCAUAUAUUUUUUUUCCUUGAGAAAACUGUUGUAGUCAUCUUGUUUCCAUGGACAGAGUUGAUUUAGUUCUUCCAAGAAAUGCUACUGAUGACAUUUGUUUUAUACUUUCUCUUUUUUUGCAUGCGUUUAGGUAGAAUAGUGGUCUAGCUGCAGGCUAAUAAGUCAAGCUAUGCCAAAAGCGUAUGAUUUAAUUUAUUAAACAUAACUUCAAGUUCAAGAAGUGUUUCUCAUUGCCACCAAUGCUUUGGACACCUGUUGGAAGGUUUGUUGUCCUCAGCUUUUGUUUAGAGCAAAAGUUCGAGUCCCAUAAAGGCUCAAACAUUCCUUUCCUUCUGUCCCAAGGGCGCCUUCUGUCCUCUGUUUUCUGUUUCCACACACAAAUAGCCAAAAGAAUUUAGAAUGACAACUGGGACAUAUAUAAGAGUGAAAUAAUUAAAAAAAUAAUGCUUUCUUGUUUGUCGUGUUAAAAUCGUAAGUACCGAAGUACUGUGAAAGAGAUUGAUUUACAGAAACUGAAGCCAAGGGUUCAAAAAAAAAGUGCAAAGAGAAUAAUUGUAUUGGUAGCACAAUGUCAUAUUCAUACAGAGAUCAAGUAUAUUAUUUACGGCUGGUAAGGACUAAGAAUUGAUGUAGCUAGAAUGCGAAGAUGAUAAGGUAUGUUGUGCACUAUUGUUUUAUUCUACAAUCAAUCUUGACCCUUGAUGCUUGGCUCUCAAUCUUGUCCAUUGAUCUUCUCUGAUUUGGGAGACUUGAAGACCUUUCAGUAUCCUGCCUUGUUGUUGGUAUCUUCCAUGCUGUAGAACCGCCGACUUGCCAAGUAUUUGUUCAUUGAUGCAUUUUAUGAAACAGUUGGCCUGCUCAUAGCAAACAGCUCCUGUGUUAACUCCCCCUCCAUAGCUCAACUAUCUGGGAAGACAAUUAAUUGAGCUUGUUUCACAAUUAUAUGAAUCUGAAAGUUCAAUUUUAAAAAUUACAUUCGGACUCUACAUUUUCUAAUGAACAUUGGUUUGGCUUAUAAGCUUAAUAUGCUUAGGCUUAGGCUUGGUAAGAUUAUCGGUCGGUAGAUGAACAAGUUUUAGAGCUUUCGAAUUCAUGCCAAUUAAUUUUCAACUAGGCUAUUACCACAAUAAACAUUUAGAAAUCUAAAUUUGUUCAUUAUAUAUUCUGAUCAGCACUUGAACAUCCAUGCAGACUCCUAUUAAUUAUAUCCUCUAAUGGAGAGAACUCAUUGCCUCAGAAUGAUCACUGUGUCAUCAACCCACUGCCCGCUUCUUUGCUUGGUUGUUGCAGCAAGCAACAAUAUUACCACAGAUCAACAAUAGUUUGUCCAUUUGUUUCAGUGAGGUCGUCAUUAAAAAUUAAUUUUCAUAUUGAUUUUCUUAAUUAUAAAUAAUACUAAUGAUAUUUCAUAGUUAUAAAUAUAUUAGAAUUAAUCGAAAUCAUUUUUUUAGUGCGGCAUGGCUAAAACUACCUUUUUUUUUUAUAAGUAAUUACUACUUUAAGGAAAAUACUUCUAUUUUCAGGGAAAAGUCAAGUACCCGUAGUUGUGAAGACUCGAGCUCACCCUCUUAUGAUAAAUCUUCAUAUCAAUUACAUAAAUAUCCUCUAAAUUUUUAGUUAACUAUUCAAAAUUCGAUGUUAUACGGGUAUUUCAUUUAUUUGAGUAGGGGUUAGGGGUCAAUUGGAUACAAAUUCAAAAUUAUCCUUACUUGAGAAGGUGAUAAAAAUUGGGGAUUUAGUUUG